RNAcentral lists this ribosomal RNA (221 nucleotides) under uncultured bacterium. Its description in RNAcentral is "partial 16S ribosomal RNA". It matches the Rfam family "Bacterial small subunit ribosomal RNA", at positions 524 to 743 of the family's 1533-position model. The record is from RNAcentral.
UACGUAGGUGGCAAGCGUUGUCCGGAAUUAUUGGGCGUAAAGCGCGCGCAGGCGGUCCUUUAAGUCUGAUGUGAAAGCCCACGGCUCAACCGUGGAGGGUCAUUGGAAACUGGGGGACUUGAGUACAGAAGAGAAGAGUGGAAUUCCACGGUGUAGCGGUGAAAUGCGUAGAGAUGUGGAGGAACACCAGUGGCGAAGGCGACUCUUUGGUCUGUAACUGA